Molecule: microRNA precursor, 162 nt
Filed under: Populus trichocarpa (black cottonwood)
Lineage: Eukaryota; Viridiplantae; Streptophyta; Magnoliopsida; Malpighiales; Salicaceae
Description: miR7836 stem-loop (ptc-MIR7836)
Source: miRBase by way of RNAcentral
AGGGUGUGUUUGGGUGGGAGGUGUGGUAGCUUUUUUUUUAAGGUACCAUCCUCUUAAAGCACAUACCACAUUUUCUAAAAGCAAAAAAUACAUGCUUUUUAGUAAGAGGUGUGGUAGCUUUUUGAAAAAAAACAACCACACCUCCCACCCAAACACCCUCUA